This is an RNA transcript of Cucumis sativus (cucumber), 2180 nucleotides long. It is a transcript of the gene named cysteine--tRNA ligase 2, cytoplasmic-like, with no coding region annotated. The record is from RefSeq and is a predicted model, not a curated record. NCBI's taxonomy places the organism in Eukaryota, Viridiplantae, Streptophyta, Magnoliopsida, Cucurbitales, Cucurbitaceae. The transcript has 10 exons.
AAAGAAAGGCAAAACCUAAUUCUCAAUCCACGCCUUUCACAUACUCUUGCGUGCUCCAUCCCCCUCUCUCUUACUCUUCGCGCCAACGCCGUCGCCGACGCCGGCGCCGGUUCCCCUCCCUCGUUCUGCCAGUUACUCCUGCUCGCGCCACCACUAUCACCUUCCUCCUAUCUCUCUACUGAUUUAGUUUCUUGUUUGCCAUCGAAAUGGCAAAGGAGGAAUUUAGGGUUUACAAUUCGAUGACGCAGCAGAAGGAAGUCUUCACCACGAAGGAGCCUGGUAAGGUUGGCAUGUACGUCUGUGGCAUCACGGCCUAUGAUUUCAGCCAUAUUGGUCAUGCCCGUGCCGCCGUAAACUUUGAUGUGCUUUACAGAUACCUUAAGCACUUGGGAUAUGAAGUUACUUAUGUGCGGAAUUUUACUGAUGUUGAUGACAAGAUAAUUCGGCGGGCAAAUGAGAGUGGGGAGAAUCCUUUUGCCUUAAGUGAUCGCUUUUGCCAAGAAUAUCUGUCUGACAUGGCUGAUCUUCAGUGCCUUUCUCCAACACACCAACCUCGUGUGUCAGAUCACUUGGAGCAAAUCAAGGAUAUGAUAACUCAGAUUAUAAAGAAUGGAUAUGGCUAUGCAGUUGAUGGAGACGUGUUCUUUUCUGUGGACAAAUUUCCAAAUUAUGGACAACUGUCAGGGCAAAAGCUUGAAAAUCAUAGGGCAGGAGAACGGGUUGCUGUCGAUUCAAGGAAGAAUAAUCCUGCUGACUUUGCAUUGUGGAAGGCUGCAAAACCUGGUGAGCCAAGUUGGGAAAGUCCGUGGGGUCCUGGAAGACCUGGAUGGCAUAUAGAAUGCAGUGCCAUGAGUGCUCAUUAUCUCACGUUUAAGUUUGAUAUUCAUGGAGGUGGCAUUGAUUUGAUCUUUCCGCAUCAUGAAAAUGAGGUUGCACAAAGCUGUGCUGCCUGCCAAGAGAGUAAAAUCAGUUAUUGGAUGCACAAUGGGCAUGUUACCAAUAAUAACGAAAAGAUGUCCAAAUCAUUGGGUAAUUUUUUCACCAUUCGCCAGAUUACGGAAAGAUAUCAUCCAUUAGUUUUGAGACACUUCUUAAUAAGUGCUCAUUAUCGUUCUCCUCUCAACUACACUGUCUCUCAGUUGGAUAGUGCAUCAGAUACAGUUUAUUAUAUAUACCAGACUAUGCAAGAUUGCGAAGAUGCUUUAUCACAACAUCAAGGGAAAACCUGAGUGACGGUUUGGGAAAAACAGGCAAAAAAGAUCCUGUUAGCUCUGCUGCUGAAGAAUGCAUCAUUAAUCUACGGUCUGAAUUUCAAACUAGAAUGGCAGAUGACUUGAACACAGCACAUAUAUUAACUGGCGCCUUCCAGGAAGCUCUGAAGUUUAUAAAUAGUACCUUAACCUCACUCAAGAAGAAGCAACCAAAGAAACAACAACUUUCGAUGAUUCAGUCCCUUGUCAAUGUGAAGAAGGAAUUGAGAGAAGUUCUAGAUGUUCUUGAUUGCUCUCCACAUCUACUUACUCUGAAGUUUUGCAGCAGCUGAAAGAUAAAGCACUGAAGAGAGCAGGGAUGGUGGAAGAUGAUAUACUGCAUUUGAUUGAAGAAAGAACACAAGCAAGAAAAGACAAGAAUUUUGGGAAAAGUGACAAUAUCCGAGCCAAACUAUCUUCCUUAGGCAUAGCUCUCAUGGACGUUGGCAGAGAGACCAUUUGGAGGCCAUGUGUUCCUGUAGAACCGGCGGUGCUGGUUCCUCCAGCGAACAGAAGGCGACUCAAGCAGAGCAAAAGCCAAUGGAGCAGCAAGUUGCUCAGCCACCAGCAGGUGAACAGCAAACAGUUGACAAUGCUCAGACAAACGAGGCAGAAAAGAAGGCAACCGUGCCUGCCAUCUGAUGUUUGUAUCUUCUUCGUUUGUUGAGGUGAACCUAAACAUUUUGGAAGAGUGUGUAGCCUACAUACAUAUGUAGCUUUAUUUAUACGUAAUUUAACUUAUAGGUUUAGUCACUGAAAAUUAAUCCCAUCUAACUCCCUGUUAUUUGAGAAUUUUCAUUUGAAAUAAUUAUGAGCCAAGAAGAAAUUGAUAGUUCAAUUUUUGUCAGUCUUUUCCCCAAGUAUUAUGUCAAACACAUGAAAGAAUUUUAGUUUUCAUACAAAGAAGAUAGUGAAGGAUACUUUUAAGAA